AUGAAGUUCCACAUUGGAGACUGAAGCCCUCUUACCACAGAGCAGGUACAGCACAGGCAGAAGCAAAGCAUUUUUCCCUGUACUGCCCACAAGUAGUCUUUACCCUGAAGUAAAGCAGCUACCUUUGACGGUAAGAAGGCACUUUAAUUUCUUUGUCCAUUCACUCCCUGGGUUAU
Molecule: unclassified non-coding RNA, 176 nt
Organism: Chrysemys picta bellii (western painted turtle)
Lineage: Eukaryota; Metazoa; Chordata; Testudines; Emydidae
Source: Ensembl